This 742-nucleotide ribosomal RNA is filed under the name uncultured bacterium. RNAcentral's name for it is "bacterial SSU rRNA". It matches the Rfam family "Bacterial small subunit ribosomal RNA", at positions 94 to 823 of the family's 1533-position model. The record is from RNAcentral.
AGCGGCGGACGGGUGAGUAACACGUGGGUAACCUGCCCAAGAGACUGGGAUAACACCUGGAAACAGAUGCUAAUACCGGAUAACAACACUAGACGCAUGUCUAGAGUUUGAAAGAUGGUUCUGCUAUCACUCUUGGAUGGACCUGCGGUGCAUUAGCUAGUUGGUAAGGUAACGGCUUACCAAGGCAAUGAUGCAUAGCCGAGUUGAGAGACUGAUCGGCCACAUUGGGACUGAGACACGGCCCAAACUCCUACGGGAGAUGGCAGUAGGGAACCUUCCACAAUGGACGAAAGUCUGAUGGAGCAACGCCGCGUGAGUGAAGAAGGGUUUCGGCUCGUAAAGCUCUGUUGGUAGUGAAGAAAGAUAGAGGUAGUAACUGGCCUUUAUUUGACGGUAAUUACUUAGAAAGUCACGGCUAACUACGUGCCAGCAGCCGCGGUAAUACGUAGGUGGCAAGCGUUGUCCGGAUUUAUUGGGCGUAAAGCGAGUGCAGGCGGUUCAAUAAGUCUGAUGUGAAAGCCUUCGGCUCAACCGGAGAAUUGCAUCAGAAACUGUUGAACUUGAGUGCAGAAGAGGAAAGUGGAACUCCAUGUGUAGCGGUGGAAUGCGUAGAUAUAUGGAAGAACACCAGUGGCGAAGGCGGCUCUCUGGUCUGCAACUGACGCUGAGGCUCGAAAGCAUGGGUAGCGAACAGGAUUAGAUACCCUGGUAGUCCAUGCCGUAAACGAUGAGUGCUAAGUGU